UAUACGCCUGAUUUUCUCAAU
This 21-nucleotide non-coding RNA is filed under the name Arabidopsis thaliana (thale cress). Lineage: Eukaryota; Viridiplantae; Streptophyta; Magnoliopsida; Brassicales; Brassicaceae. The record is from RNAcentral.